Molecule: ribosomal RNA, 545 nt
Filed under: uncultured archaeon
Lineage: Archaea
Description: bacterial SSU rRNA
Rfam family: Archaeal small subunit ribosomal RNA
Source: RNAcentral
GCAGCAGGCGCGAAAACUUUGCAAUAAGCGAAAGCUUGACAGGGCUAUCCCGAGUGCCAUCCGCUGAGGAAGGCUUUUACCCAGUCUAGAACGCUGGGGGAAUAAGGAGAGGGCAAGUCUGGUGUCAGCCGCCGCGGUAAUACCAGCUCUCCGAGUGGUGUGGAUGUUUAUUGGGCCUAAAGCAUCCGUAGCUGGCUAAGUUAGUCCCUUGUUAAAUCCACCGAAUUAAUCGUUGGAUUGCGGGGGAUACUGCUUGGCUAGGGGACGAGAGAGGCAGACGGUAUUUCCGGGGUAGGGGUGAAAUCCUAUAAUCCCGGGAAGACCACCAGUGGCGAAGGCUGUCUGCUAGAACGCGCCCGACGGUGAGGGAUGAAAGCUGGGGGAGCGAACCGGAUUAGAUACCCGGGUAGUCCCAGCUGUAAACGAUGCAGGCUAGGUGUUUGGACGGCCACGUGCCGUUCUAGUGCCGCAGGGAAGCUGUUAAGCCUGCCGCCUGGGGAGUACGAUCGCAAGAUUGAAACUUAAAGGAAUUGGCGGGGGAGCAC